RNAcentral lists this ribosomal RNA (358 nucleotides) under uncultured bacterium. RNAcentral describes it as "bacterial SSU rRNA". It matches the Rfam family "Bacterial small subunit ribosomal RNA", at positions 29 to 416 of the family's 1533-position model. The record is from RNAcentral.
AACGAACGCUGGCGGCAGGCCUAACACAUGCAAGUCGAACGCUCCGCAAGGGGAGUGGCGCACGGGUGAGUAACACGUGGGAACCUACCUUCUGGUACGGAACAACCAAGGGAAACUUUGGCUAAGACCGUACACGACCUCCGGGUGAAAGAUUGAUCGCCGGAAGAGGGGCCCGCGUCCGAUUAGGUAGUUGGUGAGGUAACGGCUCACCAAGCCUUCGAUCGGUAGCUGGUCUGAGAGGAUGACCAGCCACACUGGGACUGAGACACGGCCCAGACUCCUACGGGAGGCAGCAGUGGGGAAUAUUGGACAAUGGGCGCAAGCCUGAUCCAGCCAUGCCGCGUGAGUGACGAAGGCC